This 484-nucleotide ribosomal RNA is filed under the name uncultured bacterium. RNAcentral's name for it is "partial 16S ribosomal RNA". It matches the Rfam family "Bacterial small subunit ribosomal RNA", at positions 29 to 507 of the family's 1533-position model. The record is from RNAcentral.
AUUGAACGCUGGCGGAAUGCUUUACACAUGCAAGUCGAACGGCAGCACGGGGGCAGCCCUGGUGGCGAGUGGCGAACGGGCGAGUAAUACAUCGGAACGUGACCGGUCGUGGGGGAUAACGUAGCGAAAGUUACGCUAAUACCGCAUACGAUCUGAGGAUGAAAGCGGGGGACCUUCGGGCCUCGCGCGAUCGGAGCGGCCGAUGUCAGAUUAGGUAGUUGGUGGGGUAAAGGCCUACCAAGCCGACGAUCUGUAGCUGGUCUGAGAGGACGACCAGCCACACUGGGACUGAGACACGGCCCAGACUCCUACGGGAGGCAGCAGUGGGGAAUUUUGGACAAUGGGCGCAAGCCUGAUCCAGCCAUUCCGCGUGCAGGACGAAGGCCUUCGGGUUGUAAACUGCUUUUGUACGGAACGAAAAGGCUCUGGCUAAUACCUGGGGCUCAUGACGGUACCGUAAGAAUAAGCACCGGCUAACUACGUG